Long non-coding RNA from Panicum virgatum (switchgrass), 273 nucleotides. RefSeq lists it as uncharacterized. NCBI's taxonomy places the organism in Eukaryota, Viridiplantae, Streptophyta, Magnoliopsida, Poales, Poaceae. The record is from RefSeq and is a predicted model, not a curated record. The transcript has 3 exons.
CUCGACCUCGAGUUCCGCGCCUCCUACCCCGACCAUACGAACCCGGCGAAGCUGGUGGCGAGGGUGAAGCGGGUGCAGGAGGCGGUGGCCGCGCUCAAGGAGCUCUGCCGCGACCUCCUCACCCAGAAGCAGGUCCCUGCGAUUGGCCCGCUGAUGCUGGCCUUGCUCUCUGCGCAGGAACUAAUCGAUCGGAUACACGUGAGCCUGAUGGCGCAGCGCAGCACGACGCAGCGGCUGCUCGCCGCAUCCGGGCUGCCCCCCUUGUCCGACGUC